This 940-nucleotide ribosomal RNA is filed under the name Myroides odoratimimus. RNAcentral's name for it is "bacterial SSU rRNA". It matches the Rfam family "Bacterial small subunit ribosomal RNA", at positions 408 to 1352 of the family's 1533-position model. Lineage: Bacteria; Pseudomonadati; Bacteroidota; Flavobacteriia; Flavobacteriales; Flavobacteriaceae. The record is from RNAcentral.
AUGACGGUCCUAUGGAUUGUAAACUGCUUUUGUACAGGAAGAAACCUCCCUACGAGUAGGGACUUGACGGUACUGUAAGAAUAAGGAUCGGCUAACUCCGUGCCAGCAGCCGCGGUAAUACGGAGGAUCCGAGCGUUAUCCGGAAUUAUUGGGUUUAAAGGGUUCGUAGGCGGCUUUGUAAGUCAGUGGUGAAAUUUCCUAGCUUAACUAGGACACUGCCAUUGAUACUGCAGAGCUUGAAUAAUAUGGAAGUAACUAGAAUAUGUAGUGUAGCGGUGAAAUGCUUAGAUAUUACAUGGAAUACCAAUUGCGAAGGCAGGUUACUACGUAUUUAUUGACGCUGAUGAACGAAAGCGUGGGGAGCGAACAGGAUUAGAUACCCUGGUAGUCCACGCCGUAAACGAUGGAUACUAGCUGUUCGGUUUUCGGACUGAGUGGCUAAGCGAAAGUGAUAAGUAUCCCACCUGGGGAGUACGUUCGCAAGAAUGAAACUCAAAGGAAUUGACGGGGGCCCGCACAAGCGGUGGAGCAUGUGGUUUAAUUCGAUGAUACGCGAGGAACCUUACCAGGGCUUAAAUGUAGAUUGACAGAUUUGGAAACAGAUUUUUCUUCGGACAAUUUACAAGGUGCUGCAUGGUUGUCGUCAGCUCGUGCCGUGAGGUGUCAGGUUAAGUCCUAUAACGAGCGCAACCCCUAUUGUUAGUUACCAGCGCGUUAUGGCGGGGACUCUAGCAAGACUGCCGGUGCAAACCGUGAGGAAGGUGGGGAUGACGUCAAAUCAUCACGGCCCUUACGUCCUGGGCUACACACGUGCUACAAUGGCAAGUACAGAAAGCAGCUACCUGGCAACAGGAUGCGAAUCUCCAAAGCUUGUCUCAGUUCGGAUUGGAGUCUGCAACUCGACUCUAUGAAGCUGGAAUCGCUAGUAAUCGGAUAUCAG